CCGAGAAUCGUCGAGGGAUGCCUUCACCGGCUACCAAACCCUCGGCGUUCCACCCAACCCUCUGUUGUUAUAACUACUUCGUUGCUUUGGCGGGACCGUUCGGUUCGCUGAGCGCACCGGUCUUCGGACGGGUGAGCGCCCGCCAGAGUCCAACCAAACUCUUGUUUUUAACCAGUCGUCUGAGUAUAAAAUUUUAAUUAAAUUA
RNAcentral lists this unclassified non-coding RNA (205 nucleotides) under uncultured Kabatina. Its description in RNAcentral is "sequence contains ITS1". Lineage: Eukaryota; Fungi; Ascomycota. The record is from RNAcentral.